AGUCGAGCGGUUGACGGGAGCUUGCUCCCUGAUUCAGCGGCGGACGGGUGAGUAAUGCCUAGGAAUCUGCCUAUUAGUGGGGGACAACGUUUCGAAAGGAACGCUAAUACCGCAUACGUCCUACGGGAGAAAGCAGGGGACCUUCGGGCCUUGCGCUAAUAGAUGAGCCUAGGUCGGAUUAGCUAGUUGGUGGGGUAAUGGCUCACCAAGGCGACGAUCCGUAACUGGUCUGAGAGGAUGAUCAGUCACACUGGAACUGAGACACGGUCCAGACUCCUACGGGAGGCAGCAGUGGGGAAUAUUGGACAAUGGGCGAAAGCCUGAUCCAGCCAUGCCGCGUGUGUGAAGAAGGUCUUCGGAUUGUAAAGCACUUUAAGUUGGGAGGAAGGGCAGUAAGUUAAUACCUUGCUGUUUUGACGUUACCGACAGAAUAAGCACCGGCUAACUCUGUGCCAGCAGCCGCGGUAAUACAGAGGGUGCAAGCGUUAAUCGGAAUUACUGGGCGUAAAGCGCGCG
RNAcentral lists this ribosomal RNA (516 nucleotides) under Pseudomonas sp. LS19. Its description in RNAcentral is "bacterial SSU rRNA". It matches the Rfam family "Bacterial small subunit ribosomal RNA", at positions 60 to 571 of the family's 1533-position model. Lineage: Bacteria; Pseudomonadati; Pseudomonadota; Gammaproteobacteria; Pseudomonadales; Pseudomonadaceae. The record is from RNAcentral.